This is a long non-coding RNA of Talpa occidentalis (Iberian mole), 839 nucleotides long. RefSeq lists it as uncharacterized. The record is from RefSeq and is a predicted model, not a curated record. The transcript is spliced from 3 exons. Lineage: Eukaryota; Metazoa; Chordata; Mammalia; Eulipotyphla; Talpidae.
CACAACCAGGAGAUACUGUCUACAGAAAGACCUUGAAUCUCCCUGGAAAAUUUUCGCCUCUUGCAAUGAGUACAAAAUUAGCAAUUCAUCAAGGAAUGAAGAUCUGUUUAGUAACAGGAUUAGCCAUAGAAGAAACUUGUUAUGCUCAGACUAUUUCAUGACAGACUUCUUGUUUUCGAAGAGAAAAGGUCCUCUUACUAUAAAUGAAACUAGGAGACUUUACUCGGACUACAGCAACCGGGAGAUGGCAGGAUCACAAUGGGGAGCAAGAGAAAUCAAGCUCAACUCUGAAUACAGCGAGGACCAGUGGACAUUUAUCAUGGAGUGAUGGGGUUAAGGUUGUGCAAUUACGAAGAGGUGACAUCAAGGGCAGGGUGGAUCAAAGGCAGACUCGGACUUCAAGAGUGGGAGAGGAAGAACUCCAUCAGAACUGCCUGUGACAACGCUUGGAGCGGUUGUUUUUCCAGCCAUCUGAACAGAGGGAAUAUUUCACACUUCAGAAAUAGCACAGCAGCAGAAUCACAUAAGACCCUACAAAGCACCCAUCUGCUCGAUACCGAAUAAGCUCUGUCAGGGAAACGAUAAACCAAAGUCAAAAUCAUCAAGUUGCUGGGCCUCCCCUGGUGGCGCAGGUGGAUGAGUGUUGCGCUGUGUAGCUGUCUGCAGCCUCUGAAGCAUCGAUUCGAUCCUGGCCGGCCAGUGAGGGUCCCACAUGGUGCGGCAGACCUCUCCUGUCUUGCCUACUGCUCCCCUCAGCAGUGUAUUUCGUCAGUCUGCCUGUUCUGCUCCCCGCUCUGUCUCUGGUGAAUCCUCUCACCCUCCCGUGCAUCUGGCCUUUA